Molecule: ribosomal RNA, 466 nt
Filed under: uncultured bacterium
Lineage: Bacteria
Description: partial 16S ribosomal RNA
Rfam family: Bacterial small subunit ribosomal RNA
Source: RNAcentral
GACGAACGCUGGCGGCGUGCUUAACACAUGCAAGUCGAACGGAAAGGCCCUGCUUUUGUGGGGUGCUCGAGUGGCGAACGGGUGAGUAACACGUGAGUAACCUGCCCUUGACUUUGGGAUAACUUCAGGAAACUGGGGCUAAUACCGGAUAGGAGCUCCUGCUGCAUGGUGGGGGUUGGAAAGUUUCGGCGGUUGGGGAUGGACUCGCGGCUUAUCAGCUUGUUGGUGGGGUAGUGGCUUACCAAGGCUUUGACGGGUAGCCGGCCUGAGAGGGUGACCGGCCACAUUGGGACUGAGAGACGGCCCAGACUCCUACGGGAGGCAGCAGUGGGGAAUAGUGCACAAUGGGCGGAAGCCUGAUGCAGCAACGCCGCGUGCGGGAUGACGGCCUUCGGGGUGUAAACCGCUUUCGCCUGUGAUGAAGCGUGAGUGACGGUAAUGGGUAAAGAAGCACCGGCUAACUACG